RNAcentral lists this ribosomal RNA (121 nucleotides) under Lepisosteus oculatus (spotted gar). Lineage: Eukaryota; Metazoa; Chordata; Actinopteri; Semionotiformes; Lepisosteidae. The record is from RNAcentral.
UGAGGUAAAGCCAUAUCACCCUGCAACUCACAACUGGCAACCCACUGAAGCUAAGCAGGUGUGAGCCUGGUCAGUACCUGGAUGGGAGACCUCCUGGGAAAAACUAAGGUUGCUGCUGGAA